Long non-coding RNA from Amphiprion ocellaris (clown anemonefish), 4680 nucleotides. RefSeq lists it as uncharacterized. The transcript has 4 exons. NCBI's taxonomy places the organism in Eukaryota, Metazoa, Chordata, Actinopteri, Pomacentridae. The record is from RefSeq and is a predicted model, not a curated record.
ACAAUACAAUAAACAUGACUAAAAUAAUGAAAAUUACCAAUACAAUAAAAAUGAAUAAAGUCAAUAAAAUUUUACAAUACAAUAAAAAUCAUUAAAAUAAAUAAAAACUGACAAUAAAAAUUCAUGAAAUAAAUAAAAUUAUCAGUACAAUAAAAAUAAACAAAAUCAAUAAAAAAUGAAAUAAUGAAAAUUAACAAUACAAUAAAAAUAAAUACAUUAAAAUUGAUAAUACAAUAAAAAUUAACUCAAUGUUUUUCCUCAACAACAUCUCCAUGACUUAAACACAUUGUGGCCAGAACGUUCCACUUUUGUUAAUAUAUCAUAUUGGAUGAACAUUUUAUAAAAAUCACCAGAGGCCUCACUCACAAUUGGAAAACACUCUUUAAAUGUUGUUUUGAGAACGUUCCUACUUUGUAAUCAUAGAACAUAAUCUGUGUUCCUGACUACAUCUUCUGAAUGUUGAUGCUAAAAGAAUCAUAUUAACUUUACAGGAACAUUACUUCAAAUGAAAAUAUUUGUAAAACGUAGUUUAAACAUCAGACUAAAACAUGAUUAGAACCUGCAGCUAAUGUUAGCCAGAGUGGUGGGAACGUUCUCCUGUGGAGCUUCAGAACUUCACCCUCCACUAUGUUUCAUGUUUCAGAAUGGGAAGCGCCUUUAUAGAAGUGGCAGGAAGUGGAUUCAGGCUGAUCCUGGUUCUGGAGAGACCGGUUCCCUCCGGAGGGCAGCGGAGGUUUGCUGGAGGAGGCGGAGGCCAAGCCUCCAUCCAGCCGUCCGUGGAAAGGGGAUCUCUCUUUGAAUUGCCUUUCCCGAGGUUUCUUCCCAUCUUCCAUGGGGAGUUUUUUCUCGUCUUCAUAGAGAGCUUGGGUUGGAUCAAGACCUCCUCAAAAAUAAAACUUCAUUAUAAUAAAUAACACAUCAUGAUAGAUUAUUUCCAGAUUACAUUUAGAGUUACAUCCUGGUUAAUAAGUUGUUUACACAAAACCAAGUUGAACUGCACAUUUUAGAGGACAUUGCACAUUUAUUAUAUAAUGUAUUAAAGAGCUACUUUACAGAUUCAGAUUAAUAAUUCAAAAUAUGACCAAAAAAUAAGCUCUGGUGUAUGAUUAGAUGCUUUUUUUUCCCCUAGUGGAAAUUCACAAGAUGUAAAAUAAAUAUAAAUUGAAGCCAGCCUCGGUUUUACCAGCUGCAAAAUUAAAGUUAUCUACAUGCUAAUGCAUUUAAAAGGUGUAACCCUGUUAUAUAAAAUACACUUUUACAAGUUAAUUAAAUUAGUUAAAUGCAUGGUUGCAAGAUUACAAGCCCAAGGUACUGAUUUAGCUAAACCUUUUAAGUUGCAAACAUUUAUUUAUGUUUAUAUUGUUUUGACAUAAUAACGUUUCACCAACUUAAUAUUGUGAAUAAUUUAAAAUUGGAUUUUUUGCUGGAGUUGAUUUAAAACUAAAUUCAAAUUGAAGUAACUUCCAUCUUCAGUCUGUUCAGACUUCCGUGGACAGUGACUCCAACGAGUUUAGCCUAUUUUUGUCAGGCUUUGCCGUCUGGCAGAGCCGUAUCUAUUGGUUGAAAGCAGAGGAUCUGUACUUGACGGGGGUUUGGGUGGUGCUCAGUGGAGCUUGUGGGCGGAGUCAGUGAGGACUUCACCAGGGGGUUGGGCCCGGGCAGCAAAAGGUCAGGGGUCAUCGCUUCUCGGCCUUUUGGCUAAGAUCAAGUGUAGUAUCUGUUCUUAUCAGUUUAAUAUCUGAUACGUCCUCCAAUGUGAGGACUAUAUAUUAAAUGGAUUUUUAGCACUGGGAGCUGAAAGAGGGGUUUGCUCCUUUCACUCCACGCAUCGACCUGGUACUGCAGUGCUGCCAGGAACGGUGCAUCCUUCUCUGGCCUUGUAGAAUGGAAAUAAAACAAGCUAAUAACAACGCUCUGGCAGAUUGGGCAGUGACCACCAAAGCUGUCAAACAAAGCCAGCAGCACCAGCUGCUUCUGUGGCGUCGUCAUGCUUACGCAACUCAGUUUGAAGAGAGAGUGGUUUUCCUCUUGGCAGUGGACGGCAAAGGUCUUCAGUCACACUAUCCAAGUCAGAUCUUUCUGCACGGGUUUCAGCGAGUUGGAGAAAGAACAGAAGGGUCGAACGGUGAGCUUUCAGUCAUACUAUGGUCUCACAAUGGGUGGAAGUGCAAAAGUAGCUGGUUGGUGGCUCGUGGCCGUUCCACCAUCAGCACUGAGAACACACACAGCCACACAAUUCUGGAAACACAAUGGUGAGACCGGUGAAAGUGAAAAAUGGCUCCUCAAAUGCAGCACAGUACAGGACAAGGCAGCCUGGUGUCACGUUGCGCACAACAAAGCAAGCAUCAUUCUUGCAAAUUCCUUGUCCGUACCCUAGCAGUGGUUGUUCCUUGAGGACAGCGUUGCUCACGGCAGUUAUCCUGUGUGAAAGCUACAUUUGAAACGUUCUUUCUUGACUCAGUUGAGUUCAGUGAAGUGGCCAGAAAAUGUGGCCAGACGUCCUGCGGACCUGUGGGUGGCCCGCUGUUGAGUAUCACUGGGCUCCCACAGUGUCAGGCUGAUUGGAUGAAGCUUCAGUGUGUUGUAUUGUAUGUCUUUAAGGAUGUUUUUAUUUGAGUCAUUUUGUGGUUUAUUUUAUUUUCCAUCUAUUUAUGUUGUUUAUUGUUUUAUUUAGUUAAUUUUGUUUCACUUAUUGGCUAUUUCUGUCUCAUUUAACAUCUCUGUAUUUCAUUUUGGCCAAUUCAUGUUUCAUUCUGCUAAUUUACCUCUUGAUUUUUUUGUCCCAUUUUAAUAAUUUUGUGGCUCAUAUUUGGCCAUUUCGCACCUCUUAAUUACCUUUUUUGUUCUACUUUGUGACUUUUGUUGUAUAUUUUGUUUAUUUUAUAUCCUAUUUUGAUCAUUUUGUGUUUAAUUUUGGCCAUGUUGUUUCUCAGUUUGAUCCUUUUCUAUCUUUCCAUGUUGUUUUUAGUUCCAUUUUGGUCAUUUUGCAUGUGUUUAUGGAUUCUAAUUUUCCAUGUUGGACAUUUUACCCACUUCAGUCAUUUUAUAUGGUUUUAUGUGAUUGUUCUUGUCCCAUAUGGGUGAUUUUGUGCCUCCCUGUGUCUCCACACUUGUGGAAACAAAUCUCACAAACAAAUCAAGCCCUUGUCCUGUAACUUUGUCCUGUGCAGAGACCAUCAGCGACCCUUUAGAGGGCUGCAGUCAGUGAGGAGAGAAGAGGAAAGCUGCUGACGCUGCUGAAGCUCCAACUAAAAAGAGGAGUCUUCAACCGGUGGAGGACAGAGUAGAGCUGUCAGAAGAGGAACAAAGAGCCCAAUUCGACAGCAAAUACGAGCAGCAGCAUCAGCUCAGAGAAGGAGGUUGUGGGUCCGUGUUCGCCGGCCGCCGCAAAUCAGACAGUUUGCUGUUGGUGAUGCUGGGAUACUGAAGGAGACUGAUGUGGACGUCAGGAGGCUGAGCUCUGAUUCCAUUAAAAGGAUCAACUACAGAAGAACCCCGCAGAGUUUAGUUCCAAACAAAUGAUCUCCAGUCCAAGUUGAAGACAUAAAGUGUGAUCUGGAGGGAAGUUGUCAGUGUGAAUGUGUCAGUUCUCUAGUUAACUCACCUGGUUACGUCUCCAUCCUGAUGCUGCUCUGCUGGACAGGAGCUUCUGGACCAGCCGGGUGGACCUUCCUUCACUGAUCUUCCCAGUGGGAGUGAUUCUCAGUUUGCCUUUGUUGACUGCAAACUCCCUAAAAUGGACACUUGAGAGGAGAUUGUGGACAAAUCUAUACAACAGCUUGUUUAGUUUGUCCUGUUCUUAAAUCAGUAGAAAACUGUUGAGUGUUGCUCUAACUCCAUGUGUAUAAAAGCUCCUCCUACUGACCAAUCAGUUCUCUUGAAAACUGUCAUCAGCAUUAGAAGAUCCAGUGGAGCUCAGAGCACCGAUAGAGGAAGCGAAAGAUCAGAGUUUUUAGAGCUGCAAGCAAAGUCAUUUCAUUGUUCUACCUCCUUUGUAUUACAAUAUGAUUUAUGAUUCUAGAUUGUUCCUGUGAGAAAUAUUUGAAGUUGUAUCCACUGACCUGUAGUGUUCCAUACCACAUGAGAGUCAGCUUACUUAUCACUUUGAAUCAUAGUUUGAUGUCUUGCAGCCAGAAGAAUACAGCUGAGAACAUGUUCAUUAAACACAACAUCCAGUUGGAAUUAGAGUCUGAUCUACUUGUGAGCUGAUAAUUUGGUAGUAAUAUUGUUAAUCCUGUUAACUUUCACACAGUCUGCAGUUUUUGCAGCUUUCCCUCCUUCAGCUGCUGCAGCUGUGUUACUGUCAGUCUGUGUUUGGAGUUUAUAAUCUUUGUGUUUCUCUAAUAUCAUCGUUUGCUCUUCAUUUGUAAAACGGGACACUUUGGCUCCAGUAUUGUAAAGGUCCUGAUGAUACUGGGACUAAAUAUGUCGUCUACAUGGAUCAUCUGCUUUUAAAAUGACGCAGCAGCAAACAUCACAAGAAAAAGUCACUCAGAGAGAAUCUUGAACUAAUUGAAUUUAAAACCAGCAGCAGCAUCUGUUGAAGCCUCAGAUUAAAACUUGAAGCUUUUACAGUCUGGAAUCAUUAUUUGAUGUCAACUCCAACAUGAAGGAGUGCAGAGACAACACAGAAUAAACCUACUUUAGUUUGUAUUUGGUUGAAUAAAGCACCAGAAAUGA